This 401-nucleotide ribosomal RNA is filed under the name Bacteroidota bacterium. RNAcentral describes it as "bacterial SSU rRNA". It matches the Rfam family "Bacterial small subunit ribosomal RNA", at positions 1 to 399 of the family's 1533-position model. The record is from RNAcentral. Lineage: Bacteria; Pseudomonadati; Bacteroidota.
ACAAUGGAGAGUUUGAUCCUGGCUCAGGAUGAACGCUAGCGGCAGGCUUAAUACAUGCAAGUCGUGGGGCAGCGCGGGUAGCAAUAUCUGGCGGCGACCGGCAAACGGGUGCGGAACACGUACGCAACCUUCCUUCAAGUGGGGGAUAGCCCAGGGAAACUUGGAUUAAUACCCCGUAAUAUUAUGAGGUGGCAUCAUCUUAUAAUUAUAGCUUCGGCGCUUGGAGAUGGGCGUGCGGCUGAUUAGGUAGUUGGCGGGGUAACGGCCCACCAAGCCUGCGAUCAGUAACUGGUGUGAGAGCACGACCAGUCACACGGGCACUGAGACACGGGCCCGACUCCUACGGGAGGCAGCAGUAAGGAAUAUUGGUCAAUGGACGCAAGUCUGAACCAGCCAUGCCG